Molecule: ribosomal RNA, 506 nt
Filed under: uncultured bacterium
Lineage: Bacteria
Description: partial 16S ribosomal RNA
Rfam family: Bacterial small subunit ribosomal RNA
Source: RNAcentral
AUUGAACGCUGGCGGCAGGCCUAACACAUGCAAGUCGGACGGUAGCACAGAGGAGCUUGCUCUUCGGGUGACGAGUGGCGGACGGGUGAGUAAUGUCUGGGAAACUGCCCGAUGGAGGGGGAUAACUACUGGAAACGGUAGCUAAUACCGCAUAACGUCGCAAGACCAAAGUGGGGGACCUUCGGGCCUCACACCAUCGGAUGUGCCCAGAUGGGAUUAGCUGGUAGGCGGGGUAACGGCCCACCUAGGCGACGAUCCCUAGCUGGUCUGAGAGGAUGACCAGCCACACUGGAACUGAGACACGGUCCAGACUCCUACGGGAGGCAGCAGUGGGGAAUAUUGCACAAUGGGCGCAAGCCUGAUGCAGCCAUGCCGCGUGUAUGAAGAAGGCCUUCGGGUUGUAAAGUACUUUCAGCGGGGAGGAAGGUGCUGAGGUUAAUAAGCUCAGCAAUUGACGUUACCCGCAGAAGAAGCACCGGCUAACUCCGUGCCAGCAGCCGCCGCAG